GAUGAACGCUGGCGGCGUGCCUAAUACAUGCAAGUCGAGCGGACAGAUGAGGAGCUUGCUCCUCUGACGUUAGCGGCGGACGGGUGAGUAACAUGUGGAUAACCUACCUAUAAGACUGGGAUAACUUCGGGAAACCGGAGCUAAUACCGGAUAAUAUAUUGAACCGCAUGGUUCAAUAGUGAAAGACGGUUUUGCUGUCACUUAUAGAUGGAUCCGCGCCGCAUUAGCUAGUUGGUAAGGUAACGGCUUACCAAGGCAACGAUGCGUAGCCGACCUGAGAGGGUGAUCGGCCACACUGGAACUGAGACACGGUCCAGACUCCUACGGGAGGCAGCAGUAGGGAAUCUUCCGCAAUGGGCGAAAGCCUGACGGAGCAACGCCGCGUGAGUGAUGAAGGUCUUCGGAUCGUAAAACUCUGUUAUUAGGGAAGAACAAAUGUGUAAGUAACUAUGCACGUCUUGACGGUACCUAAUCAGAAAGCCACGGCUAACUACGUG
Molecule: ribosomal RNA, 497 nt
Filed under: uncultured bacterium
Lineage: Bacteria
Description: partial 16S ribosomal RNA
Rfam family: Bacterial small subunit ribosomal RNA
Source: RNAcentral